CAAGUCGAGCGCUCAUUUUCCUGUAGCAAUAUAGGGAAGUGGGAGCGGCGCAAGGGUGCGUAACACGUGGAUCAUCUGCCUGGAAGUUCGGAAUAAUUCGGCGAAAGCCGGACUAAUGCCGGAUGUGGUUGGAAGACUAAAGUUGGGGACCGUAAGGCCUGACGCUUCCAGAUGAGUCCGCGGCCUAUCAGCUAGUUGGCGGGGUAACGGCCCACCAAGGCUAAGACGGGUAGCUGGUCUGAGAGGACGACCAGCCACACUGGAACUGAGACACGGUCCAGACACCUACGGGUGGCAGCAGUCGAGAAUUUUUCUCAAUGGGGGAAACCCUGAAGGAGCGACGCCGCGUGGGGGAUGAAGGGCUUCGGCCCGUAAACCCCUGUCAUUUGCGAACAAACCUUGUCUGUUAACAGUAGGCAAGUUGAUUGUAGUGAAAGAGGAAGGGACGGCUAACUCUGUGCCAGCAGCCGCGGUAAUACAGAGGUCCCAAGCGUUGUUCGGAUUCACUGGGCGUAAAGGGUGCGCAGGUGGGUUUGCAAGUUCGAUGUGAAAGCCCCGGGCUUAACCCGGGAAUGGCAUUGGAUACUGCAGAUCUGGAGGAUCGGAGGGGGGACUGGAAUUCUUGGUGUAGCAGUGAAAUGCGUAGAUAUCAAGAGGAACACCAGUGGCGAAGGCGAGUCCCUGGACGAUACCUGACACUGAGGCACGAAAGCUAGGGGAGCAAACAGGAUUAGAUACCCUGGUAGUCCUAGCUGUAAACGGUGCGCAUUUGCUGUAAACGGAAUCGACCCCGUUUGUGGCGAACCUAACGCGAUAAAUGCGCCGCCUGGGGAAGUACGGUCGCAAGAUUAAAACUCAAAAAAUUGACGGGGGCCUGCACAAGCGGUGGAGUAUGUGGCUAAUUCGA
This 907-nucleotide ribosomal RNA is filed under the name uncultured Verrucomicrobiota bacterium. Its description in RNAcentral is "bacterial SSU rRNA". It matches the Rfam family "Bacterial small subunit ribosomal RNA", at positions 58 to 954 of the family's 1533-position model. Lineage: Bacteria; Pseudomonadati; Verrucomicrobiota. The record is from RNAcentral.